This 1399-nucleotide long non-coding RNA is filed under the name Populus trichocarpa (black cottonwood). RNAcentral's name for it is "long non-coding RNA (PTRI_LNC004313)". Lineage: Eukaryota; Viridiplantae; Streptophyta; Magnoliopsida; Malpighiales; Salicaceae. The record is from RNAcentral.
AAUUUUGGGGGGAAACAAAAGUAAAGAACCCUAGACCUCUUCCUUUUGGCAGUGUGGUAGUGGUUGCUUUUCAAAUAAUUUUUCGUGCCGAAAUACAUGCCAAUGAUAUUUUUUUAUUUUUUAAAAAUCAUUUUUGACAUCAGCACAUCAAAACGAUCCAAAAAAUACAAACCACACUCAAUUUUAACAAAAAAAAAAACAAAUUUGAAAUUUGGUGAAAAGCAGGUUGAACAGCAGAGCCAAACAUGCUAGACAGGAGCCGCCGCCUCCCUCUCAAAAAAUCCAGAGAAACCCUCCCUCUCUAAAAAAAAACAGGAGAAACCCUACUUUGGGGUUUUGAACUUUCGGCUUCUUCUCCCUGCAGCCGGACAAGGCUGCCCCCUCGCUUUGCCAAAAACGAGGAGAACCCCACAAAACACACAGACCCCCCCCCCCCAAAAAAAAAAAAAAAACCAUCCCCAGAGAAACCAACCCCCAGCCGGCGACCCCCAGCCUUAACAACAAAGAAAGACACGGCUGGUCCCCCCUCUCCACUGAUCUUCUCCCUCACCAACCUUCCCCUCUCUCGGCCGCUCACUUCCCCUCCGUCAAAAACAGAGACCGGCCGCCCCCCCCCUCUCCUUUGAGGCCAGGAACCAGAGAAACCAGAGAGCUCCGGACAGGCCUCCCUCUCCCUCGACCACAACCUCCAUCCUCCCUCUCUGUAAUCCAGCCCCCACAAACCCACAAGACAGCCCCGGCUCCCUUCCUCAUCGCCGUUUUCUCCAACUCUGACCGACCCCUCUCUCAGCCACCGAGAACGCCGCCUAGCAGCCCGCAGGCCCUCGUCCUCACCAAGACCCGAACCGGCCACCGGCAGCUGUACAGACACGACAGAAGCUCCGCCGCCGGCCGCCCCUUGCACAUACCGUCGGCCACCUGAAACAGAAGGUGAAAAAAAAAGAAAAAAACAGAUCUGCAGAAGAAACAGAUCUGAAACAAGGGAAGACCGAAACAGAUCUAAAGAAGAAGAAUAAAAAUCAACUGCUUUGUUGCGUUUUUGGUUGUUCUUGCAGGUCACUGCCGAGGAAAGGAAGAGGAGGAGAAGUUAAGCCAGAUCCACAUGUUCACAGUUUCUGCUUGCGGUGACGCGUGAACCCACACGCCGCCAGUGGCAUGGUGCGUGGAGAAGACGCUCCGCCACUGUUCCCAUCCCCAGAACCCUUUCAGCACUGUUCCCGAGGUUUUUUUUUAUUUAAUUUUCAGAUGUUGAUAUGUGUUUUUAGAUUAUUUUUAUUUGAUUUAUUUUGAAUUCUUGGUAUUUUGUAAUAUGGAAAUGUGGGUGCACGAGAAAAACAUAAUAAAAAGGAAUUUAUGUGUUUGUAUUUUUUUUAUGUAAGUUAUUGAAUUAUAAAAUCAG